CUGCUGUUUAGGUUGCUGACAGGAUUCGCCAGCAACAACAUGCGGUAGACGCGACUUCUUCCUACUUCCAGAUUUAACCACAUCAUGAACCUUCGACUUCCUCUUCCUCUUCCUAUUGGACCCAUCAUCCACUGAUUGAACAUGCUCCAACAAUUGUUCAACAGGACAUGGGCAUACAACAGCCGGAACGAUGCCACCUUCAUCUAUAAGUGGCCUCUCAACUUCAUCAUACAC
RNAcentral lists this long non-coding RNA (234 nucleotides) under Salvia miltiorrhiza (redroot sage). RNAcentral's name for it is "long non-coding RNA (SMIL_LNC003913)". The record is from RNAcentral. Lineage: Eukaryota; Viridiplantae; Streptophyta; Magnoliopsida; Lamiales; Lamiaceae.